Molecule: ribosomal RNA, 254 nt
Filed under: uncultured bacterium
Lineage: Bacteria
Description: partial 16S ribosomal RNA
Rfam family: Bacterial small subunit ribosomal RNA
Source: RNAcentral
UACGGGGGGAGCAAGCGUUGUUCGGAUUUACUGGGCGUAAAGGGCGCGUAGGCGGCCGCCGCAAGUCGACUGUGAAAUCUCUGGGCUUAACCCAGAAAGGUCAGCCGAUACUGCGGGGCUAGAGUGCAGAAGGGGCAACUGGAAUUCUCGGUGUAGCGGUGAAAUGCGUAGAUAUCGAGGGGAACACCUGCGGCGAAGGCGGGUUGCUGGGCUGACACUGACGCUGAGGCGCGAAAGCUAGGGGAGCGAACGGG